This 642-nucleotide ribosomal RNA is filed under the name uncultured bacterium. Its description in RNAcentral is "bacterial SSU rRNA". The stretch from base 1 to 537 matches the Rfam family "Bacterial small subunit ribosomal RNA", at positions 338 to 873 of the family's 1533-position model. The record is from RNAcentral.
CCUACGGGAGGCAGCAGUGAGGAAUAUUGGACAAUGGGCGCAAGCCUGAUCCAGCCAUGCCGCGUGCAGGAAGAAGCAUCUAUGGUGUGUAAACUGCUUUUGUACAGGAAGAAACACUCCCUCGUGAGGGAGCUUGACGGUACUGUAAGAAUAAGGACCGGCUAACUCCGUGCCAGCAGCCGCGGUAAUACGGAGGGUCCGAGCGUUAUCCGGAAUCAUUGGGUUUAAAGGGUCCGUAGGCGGUUUAAUAAGUCAGUGGUGAAAUCUGGUCGCUCAACGAUCAAACGGCCAUUGAUACUGUUAGACUUGAAUUAUAAGGAAGUAACUAGAAUAUGUAGUGUAGCGGUGAAAUGCUUAGAUAUUACAUGGAAUACCAAUUGCGAAGGCAGGUUACUACUUAUGGAUUGACGCUGAUGGACGAAAGCGUGGGGAGCGAACAGGAUUAGAUACCCUGGUAGUCCACGCCGUAAACGAUGGAUACUAGCUGUUCGGAGCAAUCUGAGUGGNGUAGACGAAGUAGAGUAAGUAAGUACCACCGUCGGGAGGUAACGGUUACGUCGAAGAAAGUAGAAACGUUAACGAAAGGAAAGUUAGUUACGGCGUUGAGACGAGCCGACGGACGACGACGAGGGGAGGAGGAGG